This 250-nucleotide ribosomal RNA is filed under the name uncultured prokaryote. RNAcentral describes it as "partial 16S ribosomal RNA". It matches the Rfam family "Bacterial small subunit ribosomal RNA", at positions 524 to 775 of the family's 1533-position model. The record is from RNAcentral.
UACGGAAGGUCCGGGCGUUAUCCGGAUUUAUUGGGUUUAAAGGGAGCGCAGGCGGACUGUCAAGCGUGCCGUGAAAUCGCGGGGCUCAACCCCACCGAGCGGCGCGAACUGGCGUCUUGGUUGCGGGAAGGGGAGGCGGAACUCGUGGUGUAGCGGUGAAAUGCAUAGAUAUCACGAAGAACUCCGAUCGCGAAGGCAGCCUCCCGGCCCGUUAACGACGCUCAUGCUCGAAGGCGCGGGUAUCAAACAG